AUGCAAGUCGAGCGGAUGAGAAGAGCUUGCUCUUCGAGUUAGCGGCGGACGGGUGAGUAAUGCCUAGGAAUCUGCCUGGUAGUGGGGGACAACGUUUCGAAAGGAACGCUAAUACCGCAUACGUCCUACGGGAGAAAGCAGGGGACCUUCGGGCCUUGCGCUAUCAGAUGAGCCUAGGUCGGAUUAGCUAGUUGGUGAGGUAAUGGCUCACCAAGGCGACGAUCCGUAACUGGUCUGAGAGGAUGAUCAGUCACACUGGAACUGAGACACGGUCCAGACUCCUACGGGAGGCAGCAGUGGGGAAUAUUGGACAAAUGGGCGAAAGCCUGAUCCAGCCAUGCCGCGUGUGUGAAGAAGGUCUUCGGAUUGUAAAGCACUUUAAGUUGGGAGGAAGGGCAGUAAGCGAAUACCUUGCUGUUUUUGACGGUUACCGACAGUAUAAGCACCGGCUAACUCUGUGCCAGCAGCCGCGGUAAUACAGAGGGUGCAAGCGUUAAUCGGAAUUACUGGGCGUAAAGCGCGCGUAGGUGGUUCGUUAAGUUGAAUGUGAAAGCCCCGGGCUCAACCUGGGAACUGCAUCCAAACUGGCGAGCUAGAGUAGGGCAGAGGGUGGUGGAAU
RNAcentral lists this ribosomal RNA (619 nucleotides) under uncultured bacterium. Its description in RNAcentral is "bacterial SSU rRNA". It matches the Rfam family "Bacterial small subunit ribosomal RNA", at positions 55 to 667 of the family's 1533-position model. The record is from RNAcentral.